CGCGAGGCUCCCUGUAAGCCAGGGCGUCGGCUCUCGCCCUCCACGGGGAGGAGGCCGGGCCCCGGCGAGGCGUCCCACUCCCGCCCUGGCCAGGCUCGGUCCCCGGUCAGGGAUUGCAGAGCCCCCCUUCUGUCGGCUGUGACUCGGGCCUGAGCUGUGUGACUGUGCCGCAUCAAAGUUUGAAGGCCCAGCGAUCAUAAUAGCAGCUGCCAGUUAUUGGGAACCACGUGCCAGGCAGGCCGGGGACCUAUGCCUUUGUGUCGUCGCAUUACUCCUCGUAGCAGCGCCAUUAAAUGCUGGUAUGGCCCACCACCCCCUUUCGCAGAUGGAGGGGCUGAGAUCAGAAGCAGUUUGCCCCAGGCCUCUCGGGAGAAGCGGCACAGCCUGCAUUUGGGCCGGAUCCCUGAUUCUGCAUCUGAGGCUUUUACACUCUGCUAAUCUGGCUCCUGUGACAAUAGAUUCAGGGGGCGCAGCUGGCUGCCAGCUCUGUUGCUUACCUUAGCUCACUGCUGCCUCAUCCCCAGUAGGAAGACCCUUCUACCCAGAGCUAAGCCCCACUUCCCAUUCUGACGAUGCCCAGGACCUGUGAGCUCUAUGCCAGGAGCCUGAAGAUUCCAUGCCAAGUUAGCACCCACCUGUCACACGGGGUCUCCUUGCUCAGGUGAUGGGAAAAGACACGGUCUGUCCAGCAUCUGAGGAGAGGCCGUGAGAAAGUGGGUGAUUUCAGAACGCCCAGUUUGUUGGACCAAGUCUGCCAUGCCGGUGUCAUGAGGCUGGGAAGUGUGGGUGAGCGCAUUUCCCGCGACGUUCACCAAACCCCAGCUACCCCAAGGCUGCCUGCCUCUCUCAUCUCCACCCUCUCUCCCUGGGAGACACGGAGACGGGCAUUUUGGCUAUCCACGUGGCUUUCCAGGUUGGUAUAAAAGGCCGAGUGAUGCUGGACAUUGGCGGCAGACCAGACACGAGGCCCAGCACAGGGUGCCCACAGCAAUCCAGAUUUUCCAGCCUCCAUAUCUGUGGCAGGUCAGGGACGCAGAGCUGGGUCCAGGACUGGGCUGCGAGGAUGCCCCGGUCCAGCGAAAGGGAACCGCCUGGAAGCUGGUAGCAGAGUGAGAGGCGGGGCCCCUUCCCUGGCUCUUUGGCCGUUUCUGGGCUGGGUUAUUCUCGAGGGCUGCCGUGCCCACUGGGCUCUGCCGAUGAAGGGAGGAGGCCUGUCCCUGAACCAGCUGGGGUAGCCGUGAAGCCAGACCCUCCCGUUUGGAGUGCCGCAACCCUGUAGCUCUGAGCACCUCUCCCAAAGGCAACCGCAGAGCCCGUGGAUUUACCCCCGCGUGUGGAGCUGCGCUGAAUGCAGUCGGCACACAGGAGCCCACUGUUGGGGCCGCAGCCGUGCACCCGUCCUCCUGCCGGCCUCGCUGCAGUUUCUGUUAAAAAGUAAGACCCUGGGCGGCUUUCCUGUGGCCAUCCCCGGUGACCAUCCUGAGCAGGACCUCUGGCCACCACUACCCUGUCUGUGCUGCCUGUGGCAGCUGUGCCAGAGCAGCCGGUGUCAAUCCGCCAUGACAGGAGCUGGGGGACACAACAUGGCAGCUGUGGUCAGCCCUGGGGAGGAGAAGGAGCCCAGCCCUGUGGGGCCUUGUCCCUGGGGAGCACAGGGAUGGGGACACUGGUGUCUUCCCUUGCCUCUGUCCACAGGCCCAGGCCCAGCCCUCGCGUCCCCAGCUGGUUUCUCUGCACACCUCCCUCCCUUUGCCUGAGACAAAGCCUCCAGCCCUCUGCGUGGCCUGAUCCCUGGGGGGCACCCACAGGGUGGGGAAGCCACCCCACCAUGGUGGUGGCAAAGCCUCAGAAGCUCCCAGAGCUCUGCCCUGGACGCUGGACCUGGGCCUGGGGAUGUGAGUUUGACUUAAUGCCCCCCAACCACAGAACGGACCAUCUGGCUGUUCCUGCUCUUGGCAGUGGCCAGGUCCCCAGCCUUCCAGAGGCCAUUGCUAACCUCACCUCCAUCACCCGGACCCCAAAGUCCCUCCUUGGUGAGAGGCUGCAGGGGCAGUGGAGGGAGCAGCCGCACAGGAGUGAGAAUGCCUGGGCUAGCCGGGGACUGGUCAGGUCACCCACCCUCUGUACCCUGGAUGCUCCAGCAGGGUCCUCAAACGGGCAGCCUACAGGGUCCGGCAGGCCAGAUGGGGCACAGUGAAGAGUUUGCGGGGACUGUGGGAACAGAGCGCCCAGGCCUGCCCUAAGGGGACGCCACACAUCGGGUCGUCCAGUUGCUGCCAAGAGGGACUCAGCCCCAUCUCCCGUUUUUACUGGUGGCCCUUGUAGCAAGGAGAAGAAGAGAAGGAGGCACUGAGUGGGGAGUAAAACAAACCUGGUAUGAAAAGCUGGCUGCUCGGCUUAGGAAGCUGGAAAGCAAAGUGGAGGUCCAGAGGCCCGGGGCUCCUUGCCGGGACUGGCUACGUAGUUUGCAAAGCCCAGUGCAAAAUUAAAACGUGGAGCCCUUGUUCAACAGUGACUAAGAGUUUCAAGAUGGUGACGACAGAGCAUGAACCCAAGCGUGGGCCCUUUGAGCACAGGGCAUCCCUGAGGGUGGGGCCCUGUGUGGCAGAUCCGUCACAGACCCACUGAGCUGGCCCCACUCCUUGCACCUGUUCGUGACACGUGCUGAGGACCCACAGGCAGCUCUGUUGAAGGAGCAGGACUCCUUUUCUGUGCCGAUUUUUUUUUUUUUUUUUUUUUUUGCCAUCACUGAUGUUGCAUGUAUAUUUUAGAACAUUUUGAAUCCUCACAAAAGAAGAAAAAAAAUUUUUGAUCACCUAUAAAACCAUACUCAGAGGUAGCCAGUGGGAACACUUCACCCAGCUUUUAUGUAAACAUAGAAUUUUAAACAAAAUUAGUAUCUUAGCAUCUUAUUAUAUGUAUCAUUUUGUCUUCUGCUUGUUUUACUAUUUUAUCACAACUCAUUCCCUAUGUCAGAAGAUAGUAUUCUACAAGUUGAUUUUUAAUAACUAUUUAAUAUUCCAUCACAUGGAUUUCUUAACCCUGUUACUGGACACUUAGAUUAUUUCCAGUUCUCCCUGUUAUAAACAACCCUUUGUAUGCACAUUUCUGCUUAUUUCCUAAGGGAGUGAAGGCUGUCACAAGAGACCUUUAGGUUCCAAAAGCUUCUUAGGGUUGUCUCUGAAUUCUGCCCUGGCCAAGGGCUCAGCCCCCAGGGCCCUGUGUAGGGUCAGUACUGGGGGGCUAGCCCUGGCAUCUUAUUUUUAGAGAAAAACACAAGUCUCCCCGGAGCUGACUUGACAGGGCAGUGUUGAGCACUCACUGCAUGCGCAGCACCGGCUGCCCAUGUUGACAGCCGCCCUGUGAGGUGCUGUCAUCAGCCCCUUAUGAACGGGGACCCUGGGCCCGAGGAGCAGAGGCACUGGCCCAAGGACCUCCUGCCUGUCCUGUUGUGAGAAGGACACAUGAAUGAUUCUGAAGCAGAAAACGGCCCCUCGACCUCCCAAACUAUGGGCCAGGAAUUGGGGGUUCCGCUGAGCCUGUCAGGGUGGGGAUGGCACGAGAUAAUGCUUAGCACGGUGCCUGCUCAUGGGCAACACUCAGUGAGUGGUGGCAAGGAGGAUAGGCAGGAGGAGGAGGAGCAGCUGCCAGGAGGUGAGGUUAGAGCCCCUGGGACAGGAGGCUCUGCAGAGCGUCUGGCCGCCUGGUGGAAGGCUCCGAGGGCAGGGAUGAGGUCUGCUGAUCCUAGCCCUGCCCCGCCCGCGACAGAUGAGCACGGUGCGUGGAGCACAGGUGUCAGCAGCCGCGUCCCCUCAGUCUCCCUCAGAGGCCUCUGGGGUGUUGGUGGGCAGGGGCUGUAUGAGUUUCCUAUUGCGGCCGUAACAGAGUUCGCUGAUUUAGAGGCUCAAACAACACAAGUUUAUUGUCGUACCAUCGUGGAAGUGGGAAGUCUGAAAAAUCUCAUGGGCUGAAAUCAAGGCGUGGGCAGGACUGGCUCCUUCUGGGGAGAAUCCCUUUCCUAGCCUUUUCUGGCUUCUAGAGGUGCCACAUUCCUUGGCUCAUGGCCUCUUCCUCCAUCUCCUAAGAGGGAUGUUGUGCCUCUCUCUGACCACAGCUGGAAAAGGUUCUUCACUUUUAAGGAUUCAUGUGAUCAGAUUGGCCCCACCUGGAUAAUCCUAGCUGCUCUCCCAGCCCCCGGCCCUCAACUUCAUCCACCUGCCGACUGGAUUUGGACUGUUCUGGAUUUGUUCCUGGGCUGAGGAGCUUCCUGCCAGAGGCCCCACCGGCCCCAUCUUUUGCCUACCUCAAGGCAGAGGUUCUGGGAACUCGGGCAGAUUCUCUGCUCAACCAGAAGCUUCUCUUCCUCUCCUCAACUCCAUGGGGCAGGCACUAUUAUCCCCAGUUUACAGGUGGGCAAACUGAGGCCCAGAGAGGCCAGAAAAUGUGCUCAUUCCCCCAUAGCUGGCAAGUACAAGGGCUGAACCGUCAGUGAUGGUUGGACCCUAAACCCAGGCCUCCACGGGGCCCACCGCCUGCCUCUGGGGAUAUGGCCUUCCCUGGCUCUCACUUAGCCACAGCCCUGCAUUCUUUCCCGAGGGUGGCAGCCCUUCCUGCCCCGUUCCCAGAGCAGCCGGCUUCUCUCAGGGACAGAAGGGCCGUGGGGCAGCCCUUGUUAGUGGGCUUGUGUGAGUGCGGAGGAAUCUGGGAGCCCCACCGGGGCAGAGCCUCACCGUGGCUUGCAUGUUGGGGGUGAAGGUGUGGAUGGCAAAGGACCAGUCUGUCCCAGCCAGAAUGGCAGGGGCUCUUCCUGGUCUGGGCACUGACUGGGGGCCCUCGGGGUGUCUCUUUCCCCAGCUGCGGCACAGCAUGCUGACCUGUGCACGGCUGAGCAGCUUUGAAUGAGAAAAUAAGAGAGCGUUCCCAGGGCCACGUUUGAAGCUGGGGUGGCACUCGGUCCACGAUGGUGGGUGAGGAUGUGCACCCCAAGGCUGGGACUCAGCGUGGGCACAGAUGGCGUUCCCUCCAAGCUGCCUGCUGCAGCCACCCCCAACCCCAGGGCCAAGGCCUGGGCCUGGCAUGGGAGGAGUUAAGCCACUGCGGCGGGCACCUUGGCACGGCGUGCUGCCCGCCCCCACCGCUUUUCUUCCUUUUUGCCUUUUUCCUUCUUAAUUAAUCAUACGCUGCUGCCCAAUUUAAAUAUGGAAAUACCCAGGCCGGGCGAUGCCAUUAUUCCUGAGGCCGGGCGGGCGGUCCGGGGCUCUGGGCUGCGGGGAGCAUCAUGGCAUCGCCUCUUUUCUGGUGUGUGUGAAAUUAUGUGCACAAAAGGCGUCUCCUUAUCUGAGUGUGUGAACUAAAUAAAUAAAUAAGGGCUUUUGUUUGUUUGCCGGCUCCUGCACAUGACUGUUUUGACUAAAGCGCCCGUGUUGUCUGUGCCUUUCUGGGGCUCAGGAGACGCGGGCAGGGGGAGGCCCCCGCGGGCCGGCCCGGGGCUCUGGGCGGCCGCCGGGCAUCUGGGCCUCUCCCUCCCCUGGCACCGCCUGCACCCCUCACCCCUCCCCACACACCCCUCGCCGGAAAGUUCCCGGCCCGGGCUGGGCUCCCAGGCAGCCUGGCACCGUGCCAGGCUCGCCGCCGAGCGCGGGCAGCAGGGUGGGGCGAGCGGAGGCACCGCCGAGGACGUGGCCGGGCGCCCCGGGCGCGAGCAGGACCCGAGGCCGGGAGGCCGGGGCCCAGAAGGUGAGGGCACCCGGGCGCAGGGUGGGCGCGGGGCGGGCGCUCGGCGGGCAGCAGGCGGGCAGCCGGGCCGGAGCAGGCCUGGAGGGGGAGCGCGGCCGCGGAGGAGGCGGGCACAAAGCCGGGCAGUGCCAGGCAUCCCCGCCGCUGCCUCCUCCCUCCUCCCUCGGCGGCCGGCUCCGCGGGGAGGCCGCGCGUGCACGGGGCCCCGGCCGGCCGCGCGGCAGGCAGACACGGCGCUGUGGCCGCGGGGCCGGGGAAGGCCGAGCAAGGCGGGGCCCAGCGCUGUCAAGGAGAAAAACAUCCCAAGGCCUGCAAAUUGCUGCUCUCAGCUUUUUUUUUUUUUUCUCCUCCUGCUUGGGAGGAAAAAAACGCAGUGCUUCCUCUGGAGGCGGAUGCAAAAAGGAUGCAGAAUUUUAACCAUCUCCUGCACCGCGUCCCUCUCCAGCAGGGUCUGGGCCCAGGCCUGGCAUGGUGGUCCCGCGGGAGAGGGAAGGGCCAGAGCGUUAGAUGCCUCUUUCUGGGAGAUGCUGAAAAGCCAGGCCUUGUAGGCAUCCAUGUCCAGAAACGGCCCGAUGCAGGGGUGUGAGGACUGGGGUCAGGGUGCCCAGGGCCUGCAUGGCUCUGGCAUGUGGUGGCCGCUGGGCCCCAUUACAGUCACCUCUCAUGUCACCAUAAGGCAUGUUUGACUGGCUCAUCACCUGGUGCCUGGGCACCGGGUAUGAGACCCCAGCACUGCACUGUGGGGGGUCUUGGUUCUUUCUGAUUUGGGGCUUUCAGCCUUGAUAGCAUUCUGGGCCUUUCUUGUGACUGAUUUUUGUGUUUUAAAAAUAAUACAGAAAGUUUUCUAGUGUCUGAUGAGGGCUUCACACACCGUACAUUCAGGGCAGGACUUAAGGACUGAAUUCAGAGUGACGAAGGUGGUCUGGUCACCACAGGGAUGGCAGACAGGCCCCCAGUGCAGCAGGAGGGGCCCACGCACCUCACAGGGUGAGGAUGCAGGCGGGGAGUGGGCGCAAUGUCAGAGCGAUGGUCCAGGGAGGCACAGUGCAUGGGGCCCACAAAUAUGUUUUAAUUUUAACAUCUUUUAGAAUUAGAAGAAAAAACUGACUAUAAUAAUAAUGAGAUAUAAUGAUGACUUCAGCUUGGAUUAUAUUCAUCUUUAUACCAAUGCAGUCAUAAAAUAUAAUUUUUAAUAUUUAUGGAGGAAGGACCAUGAAAGUCAUGAUGGGGCCUUGGGCUGGUCCGGUUUGUCCCAGGACAAAGGGUCAGAUGUCUGGCUCCAGGGGGGCCUUUGGGGGCCAUCUGGGUGCCCUGUGAAUCUGUCUUCUCUGAAGGCCAGCCGGGAUGGGUUGGCACUGCCUGCUGUGAAGAGGGGCCAGGGCCCUCUCAUGUGUGUGCAUGUUCCUGUGCAUACAUAUGUGUUUUACAAAGGAUUCCCACACACAUGAGUGUGCAAGACCUAAUUAUCAAGACGGGUGAACACAAGCCUGCGUCAGGUGUGGCCAGGAGGGCCUGGUGUUCCUGGCCCUUGGGUGAGGGGUUGUCACUGGGUGGGGAGACAACAGUGGCGUCUUCUAGCCAUUGUCUCCCUGGGAGAAAGCAGGCUGCGAGGCCCCUUCACAGCCCACCCGCCAUACCCACAGCCCAGCCCGGCUCUAUCCAGUAGACACGUAAGGUGAGCCGCAAAUGCAGCCACAUCUGUAAUCGAAUGUGUUCUAGUAGCCACAUUUUUUAAAAAGUAAAAAUGAGUGCAAUUCACUUUAAUUAUACAAUUUAUUUUAUCUAAUAUAUAUCCAAAACAGUGUAUUUCAAUGUGUAAUUAAUAUGAAAUUAUUAAUGAGAUGUUUCACCUUUUUUUCAUACUACGUCUUUGAAACCCAGAGUUCAGAUGGACUCUCCGAAUUUCAAAGUCUCGAUUUCCACAUGUAGCAUGUGGUCAGGGGCUGCUUUAUUGGGCAGUACAGGUUUAGCUGGUCCCCAAGCUGUGUGUCAUGUUGUCCCUGUCCGUGUCCCCCACCCCCCACCCCCCGCCUAGAGCUGGGGAGACUGAUUUUUCUGCUUUUUUGCUGGUCGCCCUUCUUGACCAGAGUAAAGGACAGUUCCCCUGCUAGUCAGGCCCCCAGCAGCCCUGAGAGCUGAAAGAAAGGGUGUUGAGGCUGCAAGUUUCCAGGACGAGGGGGGACUGCUGUAAAAGGUUCUUCGGCCGUGCUCCCAGACGCCAGGGGGAUGGUACAAAGGGUUGGCUUCAGGGUACAAUAGUGGGGCGGUUAGUCACAGUGCCGGGCAGCGGGCAGGCAGACAGAGCUCCCUGUGUCUGCGCCUGUUCGGGCUGGGCCCUGCAGCCCAAUUUCCCGGCCGGCUUCCCAUCCCUGCCCUACUCCCCGAUUAACCCCCUGCUGCCCGCUGCCUACCUGGCCGCCUGGCUGGGACAUCCUUACCAGGCUCUGGUUUCUAUCAGCCAGCCUAGCCAGAGGCAAACUCCUUCUAGAAGCCGGCCUCAGGCCUGCAUGAUUUCAUUGGCAUCUCUUGGGAAGGAGGAGUUGUAACAGCUCCGUCACCGUGGCUGUGCAGCCUUUGCAGCUCGAGGAAGGGUUUUCGUACGAGUUAGGGCGCCCUGUGUGCUUGGCUCCCUGCUUAAAGAUCUCAGCAGCAUUGGAGAGUAUUCAGCAAGGGCUGUGCAUUUCUGGAAACAAUGAAAAGCCAAAACUGUGAAAAAUUAAGGAGUGGCCCCGAAGCUGGUGCCUGCACUGCAUGUUUUAAAGGGAGAAGCCUGAUAUAAAUAUUUUAAUCCUGUGCAUAGUUAGAUGGAUAAGAUAAAAUAAAUUGGUCAUGUCCCAGCCCUGUCUGGGGAUACUUUGAAAGCAGGACUUCUGUCAGCAUUUGCUAUUUAGUAGUUACGGUUAAAAUCUGCCCUUCUAAGUUGUAAUCCUAGCGUCUCAAAGAUGGAAUUAGCUGUUUGUUGUGAUUUGACAGUUAAAUUAUUAACACGGGGAGACAGUAACUGCCCCCCAAAAAGGUGUAAAACGCAGUUAACAGUCUCUCUCUCUCUUUAAUUUAAAAAUUAUCUGUGCAGAGAUUCUGUAUUUUGGCUUUUCUUUGCUAAAUUAAAGUGGCAUGUGUUUUUAUUGUAGAAGGCAGGGAUGGUUUGCUGUGCCCUGUGUGAGGGGGGCAAGCAAAAUAAAGACUCUUGAAAAUGUGCCCAUCUACUUAACAGCUUAAAAAUUCCGAGUGCCAGGCAUUUUUCUUGGAGGAAAUAAAUGUCUCCAAUUUAUGCAUCUUACCUGUUGAUUACAUUUUGUGAUUUAAUCCUUGCCUCAAACUGAGGAUGUCUUUGGAAUAGAAGAAGCCUGGGUCUGUGGUCCACGAGAUGUGGUUCUGUCUGUUAAAAAUCACAGAACACUGACUCCAGGCCCUGUCCCCUCUUCGGACGGAACUCGGUCUGUGUGCCACAGCUCAUCCCACCUCUGCCUCCAGAGGACAGGCGAUGGGAGACAUAUGUUCCGCUCACAUCAUUUUGUUCUCAUUUAUUUUAAACCAGUUAAGAUGAUUUUAGCACAAAGAGUGGUGUAUCUUACUUGCCUUCUGAGAGCCAUUGGAUUUUCAAGCUGGAGUACAAUUUUUUUUCAAAAUCCAAAUUUAGAAAUUGCCUUUUAGAGUAGAAAAUAGCAUGCUGAUUUGCCUUUUAACUCACUUUUAAAGAAAGAUACUUAAGAUAAAUACGUUUGAUUUGUAGAUUUGUUCCCAGCCAUUGUUAUCAAGGGGCUGGAAAUGACCCGUUUUUAAAAAAAUAAGAGAAAGUGUGUUCGCACACCGGUAGAAUGAGUUCUUCUGGGGUGGACUCAAGCCCCAGAGGUUCCACAGACGUGGGCGUGAGUCACUGUCCUUUCCGUGUUCUUUCCUUCCCUGGAGGAGUGUGGCAUUUGGCUCUAAUGUCAUCGUGUGAAAAAGACAGUCCCUGCCUGGCCAAGGCGUCGGCACACCUCAGCCUUGACACUUCCUGGUGCGACUGGCACGCUGGAGCACACCUCUCGAGUGAUAAACAGAGCCUAUGCAAAUACUAUCAUUUUAAAGCAAACCCAACAAAAUCUUCACUAAUUGCAGUUCUGCCCUGGCUGCAGGCACCUCCUCCAGUAAUGGGAAAAAAAAAAAAAAAUGGAAUAACGGGAAACACACUAGAUGCCUGGGGAAAAUGUCUCCCCUGCAGGAGCCGGGAUCUGAGGUCUGGGAGCUGCCUCGGGGACCUGGGAGAUCCAAAGCCUCCAUGCAAGGCCUGGGACUCUUCAGUUUGCUCUUCCAAGCCUCAGUUUCCCAGAUGUGAAAUGAGAAGAAAAGGGUCCCUCGCAGCCCACCGUGAAGGCUUGCUGCAGGAAUAUGACAACGGCAGCCAAUGUUUGCCUAGCAAAGCUGGCCGGUUUCAUUUUCUGUUUGAGAGUGUUUCUCUAAAGGGUACAGUGCUAGAGACACGUGAACUACCGUUAUCAUCUGAAUAACUUUCCUGGCAAUAUAUGAUGAUGAUUAUUUAUGUUAAACUCAUAAAUAUUAAAAGGAAUUCAUUUUAUUCUUAUAAUGAAUUAUAUCGGUUUUACUUAAAAUAACUAUAGUUGUAUCGGUUGUAUCCUUUUCUGAUUAUGAAAGCAAUAUAGGGUCAUUGUAGGAAAUUUGGAAAAGGCAGAAAACUGCUUGUAAGGGGAAGAUGGUUCAGCAUCCUCCCCAUUCAAGCUCUGGUCACAUUUCCACGUAUUUCCUUCCAGGCUUUCUUCUCUGCCUUGUCGAUUCUUAUAGCAUCUAUUUUCGGAUAACUCCGUGACACUUUUCGGCGGGGUCCUCCUGUCCUCUUGGCGCUUCUGUCUUUCAGGGGCAGUUCCUCCUCACUGGCCUGCAGGCUGCCUCCUUUAGGCAAGCCGGGCACAGGCCCUGGUGUUCGGGGAGAAGACCUCAGGCUCCCUGGUACCCAGCCUUCUUCCCCUGCUGUUGUGGGAGCUGUGUCGGGGCAGGCCAGACAGACUCCGAACACAGCCCCAUGGCAGAGCCCAGGCUGACUCAGGACGUCGGGGAGAAGGGGCGAGUGGCAUAAGACACAGCCUCUGGCAGGGCCCAAGCCGUGGAGAUGGAGAGAGCCGGGCAGGAGAGGGUAGGGAGGUGGCAGACGGCGGGAAUGUUGCAACAUGUGGGCAGUGGUGAAAGGCAGGCCUGAGGUUUGAAUUCUCGGCAAAGAAAGCCACUUGGGCCGAAUGGGAUGUGCUAUUUCUUAGACGAGUAGAGUGACAUCAGAACUGUUGAGAUAAUGUUUUCAAGGUGUUCAGCUUUAUAGUCCUGACUUAGACCCACUAAGCAGUUGGGGGUUAGUGCCAAGGGACUUGGUAGAAACAGGCCAGCUUUUUCGUGCAAGGGCACAAUUCCCGAACUCUGUGUCGCAAUCAGGCAUGUGCCUCGGCUGUUCCCACAAAUCCGUCAGGCAAAAGUUCCACAUCACCAGGCCUCUGGAGGGAAACAAACCGAUUUCCAUAUUGCUUUCUGGAGUAACUGUGACCUGACAGGAAUUCUAGAAUUUCCAAGUUCAUUUCUGAUAGGAUAAAUGGAGUCUGUGGGGUCUGCCUUAACCUCCUUAGAAUAAUACAGCAGCGUCAAUGUCUUAACAACAGAUCACUAGAGAUUUAUUAGUAACCCACACUGCAGACAAACUUCACAGGCAAAGCCAUUGGUUGUAGUGUUAGUUAUAGGAGAGAAAUUAUUAGCAAGAGAUGAAAUCUGGAAUAAUAGGGAAUGCUGGGGUAAAUUAUCACAUAACAAAAUAAGGGAAUAUUUUGUCACUGUUAAAAUGCUGUUGACAAAGAGUUUGUAAGGGUAUGGGGACGUAUGGAUACAACAUUUCACAAACGGUAAAUAUGUAUGUAAAUUAUGUAAUUGUAUGCAUAUGUUCACUGUUGGGAAGGAAACACAAUAGAAUAUUAUUUCUGGAUAAUGGCGUGUAGGUGAAUCUUCCUUUUUCCAUGUAUUUUAUACUUGAAUUAUUUAUAUUUUAUACUCACUACUUAAAUUAUUUUAAAUAUCUAUCUUUAUAUUUUACUCUGAAAUUAUUUAGCCUUUGCUCUGUCUUCUCUAAACACGUGGUAUUUUUAUAAGCAGGAAAAAAAAUUUUUAAAGGCUCGUGAGUAGAAAUAUACACAAAUGGCAUAUUUUUCUCCAAAGAGCAAUGGAUAGAUGGCAUGUAGCAGAAAUAUUCGUUAGGCAACGAAUAUGAACAGUAAGUAAAUAUUUUUCGUUCUCUUAUAAAAGAUUCGUACACUGAUAGAUGAUUAAUCAAACACUGCAUGGGUUCCCUUAACCAAACAUAUGUACUUGCACAACUCAGGCAUAAGAAUCUCAAUUAAGAUUUUGUGUGAACUUAAGAAGUGUUUUUGUCUCCUAAACAAUAGCACUAAGAAGGAAAAAAAGGCAUUUUCGUUAUUCUUGGAUACUUGGUCGGAUGACCACCCUCCCAUGGUUAGACUUUAUGCUCAGUUUUGAGGUUGUGCUUUCUGCUUUUACUGUUUGGUGUUUAAAGGCAAUUUAAAAGAUUCUGCAGGGUCAUAUCUGGAGAAGUAUAUGGAUCUUGGAUUCAUAAUACCACAUGAUAAACUGUGGUCUUUGGGUGGAAAUCUUAGGGGUUUAUUUAUACUCAUCAUUUGCCUUCUUUAAAAAAAGAACGAAAAAAAUUUUUCCCCCAGUUUGUACUUCCCAGGACUUCUGUAUCUCAAAAUAUUUUUCUGCACACUUAAGUCACCUGCUGAUUCAGGGCCAGGGGUGCAUCGCUUGUGUCAAGAUAAGACACAAGAAUUUUCCUUUUUAACCAUAAUGCUAUAGGAUUUUGUGAUAUGGAAAAAUCUGUCCAUGUUUCCAUCUAAAAUAGUUGAGCCUUCCAGCAAGUGCCAUUUGCUUCCCGGUGAAAUGAAUUCCCGGGACCAGCAGCGUUGGGAAGGGUCGAAUCUUUAACAUGCAGGGGGGUUCGGGAAAUAUCAGUGCCCUGGUUGGCUUCAAAGGCCGGCGGGGGGCUCUCAGAGAGACCCCUGCUCGGGCUGCACGAGGCGCAGGUGAGCCGGACCAGCGGGGACCCGCCGUCGAGCGCAGAGCCCCCGCCAGGACGCGCGCGCCGCUCACCGCGCAGGCCCGGCCGGCGCAGCCUCAGUUUCCCCGGCUCCUCGGCGGGCGGGGCCGGCGGGGACCCGGGCCGGGAGGGACCGUGCGCGAGGCCGGCCCGGGAGGCGCCGGCUGGGAGGUCCCGCGGCCUCGGGGGCGCGACCCUCUAAUCCGCUUUAGUCAAUAUAUUGUGCGCUUUCCUUGGGCAAAGUAAACAGGGCGGGCGGACAAAGCGGCGGCCGCCGGCCCGCGACUCCCUGACCCCGGGGUCGCGCCCUUUGUUCGCCCUCAAUGGGGCCGCCCCCCGCCGCCCGCCCGCGGCUAAUUGGGGCGCGUGCCGCCGCCGCCCGCCCGGCCUGGGCGCGGACGCCGAGUCGGACCCCAGAUCCCGGACCCCGACCUUCGCCUGAUGCAGACUUGGCCGGGCCCCCGAUUCAGACUCCAGGCCUCGGUUCGGACCCGGCCCCCGGCCCGCGUGGACCCGGCCGCAGGCUCAGACGUCAGGCCCCUCGCCCCCCUGGAUGCGGACCCCAGGCCUCAGACCUGAGGCCGACCCGGCCCGGCUCUGGCCCCUCCCUCGUCCGGCCCCCUGCCCGCCACCCUGGGCCGCGAGCCCGGGGCCUGCCUGGAGGAGGCGCCUCUGCAGGGCCCUUGAGGACCUCCGCCAGCCCGGUGGUGGCCCAGAGAAGAGAGGCCGACGGUGUCUGUUUUGCUUUCUUUGCUGUUUAUUUCCGCUGGGAGUCCGGCAGGUGGGAAAGAAGAGGGGCCGGGGAAAGCAGAAUCCCCGGGGAGGGAGGACAGGACCCCCCCAGACACCCUUUCUGUGUGGACUCUCCCUCAACCCUUCUUUUCCCUCCACGUCACAGCCUGUCCAGAGGCUGGGGUAGUUCUGGGCAAGCCCGGGGAUGCCCGUGGGUGAAGGCAGUUGACACUCAGUUCCGGCCUUGACUAUUCCUUGUCCUCUGGGUUCUUUGUUUUUUCCUCAAAUGCUGGACAAGGUUAUAAUUUUUAUCCCAAGAAGCUUUUGAGACUUAGCUCCUUGUAACUUUUUUUUCCCAAGGGUUUUGCCUGUUUUUUUAAAAGCACUUUCUCUUGUAAUUAGGUGCGAAAAGGAAGCAAGAGAAAGGGGUCUUGGAAGCCUUUGCCCUUGAAGACGGACUGAGUAGCUUCCAAUUCUUGGCCAAGCCAGGCAAGGCCCUCUGGCCCAGUCUUCAUUUACUUCAUUGUUUUGUUCACCUGGCUUUGCCAGGGAGACUUUUAAAAAUGUUGUUUGUUUCUGAGCUGGUCAUUUGUGGGGUGGAAUAUUCUAGUGCGGAAUUUGGCUCUGGGAAGACUCGGUGUUCUGGAGUCACCGGGCAGUGUCUUGCUCUCCUGAGGACGAGCCUGGGGUGGGGGUCCUGCGUGUGCCACGAGUUGGAAGGAGCAGGUGCAUCAGUAAAUGUUAGGGGUGGUGCUAAUCUGCCGGAACGGGAGCCCUCUGGAGACGUGCCCUGCUCUUGUGGCCUUCCAUAGACCUCUUCCCCAAACACCCCAAUUCCUCUUUCUUUAUCCCUUCCUCACUGUCCUUCCUCCCACUGUCACAGCGCCCACCUGUCCUUUCUCUUUUCUGAGGAACAAUAACUCCAUCUGGUCGGCAUAGAUGUGCCACUGCAGAAUGCUGAUGUCCGGGCCCGGGACCCUGGCCACGCUCCGGGAGAGAACCGCCACGGUGAGGCUCUCCGCAGGGAGCCAUUCAUCAGCCCUUUCCUUGCUGACAUGAGACUUUGAGAUUUCCCCAGGUCGUCCUCGUCACCCGCUCGGUCUUUUACGCUGAGACCACGGGCAGGGGCCUGCCAGGUUCACAGAGGCCCAGAAGCAGAGUGGGGCUCAGGUGGGGCUCAGAGCCCCCCUGGCUGCUUGGCGGGGAGCCCCUGGUUGCGGGGCGCUGACGCCCCAGCAGAAAGGGCAGUGGACAGAGAGCGUCGUGACCCUUCAGCUCAGGCGAGGCGGCUUUGUUACGAGGACUCUGGCAGGCCCAGCAGGGAGCUCGAGUCUGCGAUUUUACACCGGAGAUGGACUCGUCCCAGCCCAGUUUUGAGGGGGUGAUCAGGAUGCACCUGGCAGGGAAGGGUGGACACCUUGGAUGACCGGCCGGCUGCGGGGGAGGGGGGUGCGAAGCUGGCCGGCUGAAGGCUGUUCCGAGACCCACGUUUCAAUGGGGCUCUGUUUUGCCUGGGAACGGUUCUUACCUAUGAAAUAAGCCUAUGUGUGUAUGAGUGCGAAGAAGUGGGUGGUGAUAUUUUUCUUAAAAAAAAGGCAAAAAUAACAAAGUGGCAUGUGUGCUUGGGGGUCCCAGGUCUGUGCAAUUUUGGGCCAAGUCGCUGCUUCCCCUCUUGGGCCUCGGUUUCCCUGGCCUGUAAGGAGAUGUGACAAUUCUGGUUCUGUCUUCCUCUCGGGUAUCACUUUAGGAAAAACCCUCGCUGUGAGGCUGUUGUUUUGUGCUUAAAAUGUUAGCGACUCACGUGGCACCUAGCACUUACAAAUGCUUGGGAGUUUGUGUUGAUUUGAACUGUAUCGAAAUCCUCUGCAGUGGCUGUCAGAAGGGUAUGGGCCGAGCAUGAGAAAUUGAGCAAGAUAAAGAGCAUGCCAGUCCCCUCAAGGCCUUUGACAAUGACAACAAGAUGGCCCCCAACUUGGGGGAUUGGAUCUGAUGGUUUGGAGGCCCUCCUUUUCCUGGCUUGUACACCUCGGAACCCUGAAUGUUUAUCCUAAGGUCCAAGGCCAGACUCUGUCUGCAGCCGCGCCCAGCCUGGCUAGGGUAAGGGUCCGAGUGCCCAAACCUGUACCCAGUCCACCCAAUUUGACCUCAGGCUCAAGGGGUCAGGCUCAAGUGGCUUCCAGAGCGUCUGGGCAGAGAGUGCACACCUCAGCCCCGGGCCCCUUGCCUCACCCCCCCCAACGCCGAAUGGCUGCUUUGUGCUAACGACGAUGAGUGAGGUCAGCUUGGUUUGCCCUUCACAAAAUUUCGUACUGCAGGGGAAGUUUUCUUGCAUCUGAGGUCCAUCCUUGUUAUCUACAGCAGGUUCUGUUUUCACCGGCUUUGGUGUUUGUAUGUGUGUACUGAAAAAGGGAGAUGGCGGGUAGGACCUGCCUUUGCUGGGCUGGGGGCUCGCCAUCAGCCCCUCAAAUCCGCCCCAAGCCGUAGGGGCAGCAAAACUUUUGUUUCUUUACACACAUACAUACUCAAGUGCAUACACAUGCGCGCGCACACGCCUCCCAGGAUAUUAUCCUCGUGUUGCUAACAUUUAAUGUUCUAAUAUUAAAGUUUGAGGCACCAGCAGACUGUCUUGAAAGGCUCAUUCAGCCUGUCUGCCUCGGAGCUAUUUUAUUUAUAAGUCUUCUUGUCACGUCAAAGAACUCUGUGUUUCUUGCAGACUGUGUUCGGGUGGUUGAGUGUUUUGGUUUUUGGCUACAGCUGGUUAAUUUUUCCGAAUCUGUAGAUCCAGGUGUGCGUUGAGAAGUUUUUUCCCAGCGCAAGAAGUUUCCCAGUGAGCCUUGGAGUCCUCCUAGAAAUUUCCGGCAUUCUACGUGUGAGAGACUGCCAGUUUCGGAGAAAUUGUGAGAGAGAGGGAAAGAGGCUUGGGUGCCUGCGUCCACUACCUCCGGCUGGACCAGGAGCCUGGGAAGGGCCCUCUUUGGGAGCAGGAUCUUGGAGCAUAUUUAGAAUUCAGAGUUGAAAACUGGUUAACGGAUAAGAUAUGAGCAAGGGCGUUAACUUUGAUGGUGGUUGACAAUCCCUGCCCGUGAUCAUCGUCAAAAACCGAGCACGGGAGUGAAAAUGCCUGUCCGCCUCUCCCAUUCUGUUGAAAUCCAUUUUAAAAAUAUAUGUUCAUCAUGGGGAAAUUAUAUAGACUCUUAUUUUCAAGGUUAAUGCCAUCCGUUGUCUGAUUGCUUACAUUACCACUUUCUUUUGGUUAAAAAAAAAACAAACUUCAUGUUCUUUUAAAAUUGGGAAUUACACCGAAAGUUGCUCUAUAAAUAGCAGGAAACAAAACAGGACAAAAGCAGUGGCUUUCUUUUUUAGUAUUUUUCUUUGCGGCUAUUAAAUAUUAUCCUGUUUUGCAGUGGUAGAUUUAGUUAAGCUAUUUCUUCACUUUUUGUAGAAAGGGCAUAUGUGAAAAAUCCCACCUUAACCUUGUCUUUCUGUUAACUGGAUCUAAAAUCUAUGAUAUUUAGACAUAGUCAGGAGAAUGAAACUAUUACAUAUUAAAGCAAAUUACUCACCUGUGUUGUAUGAAAUCAUAUUAGAUUUUGUAAAAAAUAAAAUGAGAAUAUUUCAAUAAAUAAGCCCGGCGUGGUCAAAUUUCAAACAACUUGUAAUUGACCCCCCCCAAAAAAAACCCUCAUUCUGCAUGUGAUUAUUUUGCAGGCAGUUUAGGUUUCGUUGCGACCAUUUUAAAGAAGUGAUCUGUGAAGUUUUGAUUUAAAAAAAGUUCUUGCUGUCCCUUGCAAUUUGACAAUGAACUGUUUGAGUUCUAAAUCAGGGUUUAUUUCCUUUCCUUUUUUUUCUUUAUUCUAGAGGGCUUAUAAUUUACUUAGCUCACUAAAUAACUGUAUGACUAAGAAAUGAUACUGAAGUUCUCAUUUCAUUUGUGGGGAAGAAAAAAAUUAAACUGACUUUCAUUAGUAUUUCAGCAUUAUUUAAAACAUUUUUAACUAAACAUUUGAUAGUUUUUAAAGUUUAAAAUUGCUUUAAAUUUUUCAUAUCUAAAUUCUGCUUAGAUGUAAUUCAAAAAGCAUAUGGGGUCAUUAAAAUAACGACUAUUUCAGGCCCCUUAAAGGACUGAUAUGAUGCAAAAAUACUUCAAAUAAAUCAGUGCUUUGCAACUGUGAAAGGAAGGCAUUCUUUGGACAUUUGAGGAAUGAAAUGCUUUUCAAAUUUUCUGAUGUCCUUUCAUUUUCGUGGAAAUCGGUACCUCCUUCUCCCAGAAACUGUUAAACUCCAAAUUCUAUAUAUCUUUAAUUGCUAAUAAACAUUUCCUAUAAGUGGCAUGAUAAAUUCUUUAGAAAAAUGUUAAUUUCUCUAAAUUUAUGAUGAUUCCAUUUUAGAAAUUGCAGGAUUGAGAGAUUAAAAUAAAUUCAGCACCCACUUCUCUUUGAAAGGUAAUUUUGAUUUUUUCAAAAUUUAGCUUGUAUUGUGCUUUUUCUCAUUCCUGAUAUGAAGCCAAGAAUCAAGUUUUGGCAUUUGAUGUACGCAUAUAGAACUGGAGAUCUUGGCCCGUCAGCCUCAAUUCACAUUUUCUGAUUUGUGUUGUUAGUACAUUGGAAUGGAAAAUAUUAAUCGUAAUUCCUCAUCCGUAAGGGGAAAAUUUUCAUGCCAGCAUGUAUGUAUUACAUACAGUAUAUUUCCAUAUUUAUAUAUAUAAUUGAACACAUGUUUAUCGUAGACGUCUAGUUGUUUUAUGUUCUCCUUUAUUUGAAAAAUAAUAACCCCUCAAGAAUGCUUUCCGGGUUGUUAGACUUUUUUUUAUAUAUACAUACACAGGUAACACAUGAUGAAAAGUGAAUGUGUGGACUUCCAAAUUGUGUAAAAUAUGGUGAAACAGCAGCUCACAGACCGUUUCUAAGCAGACGUGUGAUUGCCCAGUUGUGGGGUUACUGCCCAUCGGUCAGGAGGGAACAGAGGGCAUGCUGUUGAUCACUGCCGGCUGCAGGCACUCUAACUGUGUCCUUUCUAUUUUUCUAAAAAGGAAAGAAGGUAUAGAACUGGUAUGGCAGGUGCUGGUUUUUAGAGGGCGAGGGGUUGCUAAUGCCUCCUCCUGCCCGGUGCUUUGUUCCGCAAACACGCUUGUCCUGUGGCCAGAGUUUCAUUUCUGUUGUUAGUUAACUAAUGCCAAGUUUGACAUGAAACUGAGUGAACUGAAGCGAAAGAUUCGGAAAAACCCUUCAUUACGUUUGGAAGGAAGAACCCUUUCUGUGGAUGCUGCCUCACUUUUCCUUGCCCAGCCUGAGACCCUGUAAACUCUGUCUGACUUCUGUCUAAGCCAGUCGGCUUCUUUUCCCUCUCCUCUUCCUGAACUAUCUGCAUAAGAAAACAAAAAUGCUUACCCAAGGUGAACUGAUGAUGAUAGGUUUGUGCGUAAAUAAGUGAGAGCAAAACUGGACCCUUCGUAAAGUGGGAGUACAAGUGAUUACGACAUAGGCAUGUCAAAAUGGAAUCCCAAAGCUGCAGACUACUUUGAGACAAAGGCAAAAGAAAAAAAAAAUAUAGCUUCUUAGCGACUCCUCCAAAGGACGCCUUGGGAGGACUGAAGAAGUGGCAUCUUACUCAGGAGCUGCCACCAGCUCGCCAUCUCAAAUGUCUUGGGCCGGCUUUAAAAACAUCAUUGUUCUUGGGUGUGCAGGUUGGAUGUUCAAAAUCAAUGUGAAAAUGUAAGCUUUCAGUUACGCUCAUCCUACUUGCUUUAAUUAGACUAGAUGCAUCUGUUUACGAAGUCCUCGGAAUGCCUUGGAGACGAAAAAUUUUAAAUUAUUAAAUGUCACUACAUUGAGAUAAGAAAACCCCGAGUGCCCCCAGCCUUCUGAGGCUGAAGUGCGGCCGAAGCCUGAGCGGGGACGCAUGGGCUGGGGGGCAUAGCAGGAAGUUGCCGGUUGCAUUCCCAUUAGGCAGAUCUUGGGAGAAAUCAGGAAAAAAUAACCGUAUAAGGCUGAUACUAUAAACAUCCUGGGACAGCAAGAGCCUUCCUAUGACUUAUUUUUCUGGUGUGGCCCAGAGCUCAGACCAAGUUCUGCCUUCGGGAAACUUGUCCAUCAUAAGGCUCACCAACAAAGUAAAUUUUCCAGGUUUCCUUUUUGAUAAUUUGAGCACACUUUUUAAUAUUAUUUAUUUUGAAUAAUAUAAUAUGAUAGCGAGUUAGAAAAAGACUUUAAAAAACCAACCUGAAUGGAAUUCCUGAAUUCCAUUGGAAUUACCUGAAUCCUAUUAUUUUCCUUGACUCAAGCAGAAUUUGAUUUCUGAAUUUGCAACCAAAUUAUAUGUAAAUUCUUGCCGAGUAUAGAGGGGAUUAAAAAAAAAACAGUGUGUGUUCUUGAAUAUUGUUCUGACUCACCCAAUUUCUUGUUUUACCGAAUAAAAGUUGGGAGGAGGAAAAAGGCAUUAAAUUAACUUAUUACUGUGUGUGAGAGCAAGGAAAGAUAAAUCAGCUAAUAAAAAGGUUAGUAAGCCGGUAUGAUUAUACAAUGAUUUCAGGUGGAAAUUGCAAAGCUAAUAUCCUGGCAUUUAGUCAUUGUAAUGAUACAGUCGUCAAAUUUGUAUUUGUGCCAAUGGAACACAAGUUGUAAGUGGCAUAAUGGAAGAUAAUCUCUUUUUCUUUGUGGCUUUUUUAAUUCAAUGUUUUAAUCCACCCAUUUAAUCACAAAACAUAUAUCACAUUAGUUAUAAUAUUUAUAGUGUUUAGGAAAGUGAUUAUAAAUAGAUUAUAGUGUGGUUGGUGGAUGCAAUAUUUUUAUGUGUGUGUGAACAUAUCUCAAAGGUAUGCAGUGUUUCCAGAGUUUUGCACUUGGGAACGGUUUUACGUGAGAACAGUAACCAUAUAUUUAUUUUCAAAAUCCCCGUUCAGUUGUUACCGAGCUUGCUCAUUAUUUUGGAAAAACAAGAUUCGGUAUUAAAAGGGCCCGAUACUUCUGAUGUUUAGAUCUUUGCAUUCAGCCUAGUUUCAAAGCAGUUUUGUUGUUCUGGAGUCCUCAAGUUUGCUAAACCACAAAAUAUCUUUAAUAUGUUUUCUAAAGUAGUUGAGCCAUACCGUUAAGAUGAGGGACAGGCGGAAUUUAUAAUGGCCGUUAGUGGCUGGGUUCUUCCUUGGUGUGGCCGGAGCAGGAGGAGGGUGAUAGCGGGUUCUGUGUGGUUUUUGGGACUGCCCUGCACAUACUCAUCUCGUGGGGACGUGUUUGCUCACCCUGCACAUCCCAGUCGGGCUGGGAAUUAUAAUAGUGAAGAAAAUUACAAAGGACUAUGCUAGACGAGAGAUUGUUUUUCCCUGCGUGCGUAUUGCUAGAAUGUGGGUAUGGCAUUCCCGAGGCUCAGACUGCUGAGAGAACCAUCUUUUUCUGAGAAAGGAGGAACACAGAAUUCCUGGGCUUCCAGCUCUGGACCCCCCUAGCCCUCGAAACUGGGAGAGCCAGCCUGGACCUUCCUCAGGGAAAGAGUGAAACCCACCCCACUGUGAAAUCACCCCUGUUUGGGCUGUCUCUGCUCCUUGUCAGCAGCUAUGGAAAGUGAAAGUUGGUCAGGAUUUCAGUGAAAAGAUUAACCGGAAAGCAUGUCUACUACAUUUUCAAAAGCUGAAUUUUCUCAUAGGAAAAAAAGCUAUCCCUAGAAAGGAGAGGCCACAGUAAGAGUCUAACACCAAGGAAAGCAAUUUGGGGAGAUUUCUUAAUAUAUCCUGGGUUUUUUUCCCUCCCUCCCUUUCCCGCCUCAAAAUCAUGUAUGUCAUAGAGUAGUGGCAGUGGUGUGGGGGUGUCCAGCACAAUUCGAGGAUGAGGUCCAGGGUGUCUCGAAGGUGGGCCAGUGGGCAGCUGAGGCCCUGGGAGAGCUGCUCCAGCUGCCCCAGCCCAGCCUUGUCCAUGUGGCCAUUCUCUCUUCCUGAGCAGUGAAUCCAACGUGAAGUAGAGUUUCCUGGGAAGCAGGGCACACGAGGAACUUUUGAAUUUACCAAUGGCAUAAAAAGUAUAUAUAUUUUUAUGACAACGGGGAAGUUUCAAUUGGUUGACGGAAAUGGCGAGAUGUGACGUCAAGGGACAUUGGUUAGAAUGCCAAGGCCGGCUUGGGGGGUGGGGGGCUGGGGGGGAGACAGGCACAGAAACGUUGGGAUGGGGCCCAGGAGGCCUCGUUUCAAUUGGGCCCCCGUCGCAGGCGUCUGGGGACAGCCAGGUCCAUCUGACUCUGGGCGAGGGCAUGCCCAAGCUGGGGGAGGGGGUCCGAGCGCAGUGACCUCGUGUUGGCGUCCCCCAGCACCAGAGGCCCAGGCCGGCCCCUCUGCGGGGAAACCACUCAGGCGCCCCUGCGGAGGCUGCAGGAAAAGCUGCUUCAGCCUCCUUGGCAUUCUAACCAGUGUCGGGACCCUGGAGUCCAGCCGGUCGCGGCCCCGGGGAAGGGCGCGGGGAGGAACCGCGCUGCCAGGGGGCAACAGCGUAGUCGUCCGGCUCCGAAAGAGCAAAGCUGCGGCCUAGAACUUCUUCCCGCAGGUCUUGCGCCCUGGGCCAGGGGAGCAGGAAGUUGUCUCUGCGGGGAAGGAAGACAGCGAGCUCGGAGCUGGGCAGCAGCUCUGGGCACGGUGCCCCCGCCCAUCCCACGCCUCCCGGGCCACCGUGAGGGCACCCCCCCCAUUCGCCAGGCACCUUGCGCACCCCCUCCAUCUCUGGGCACUGUGCACUGCCCUCCUCCACUUCACCAGAUCCCGGGCACCGUGCCCCACCCUCCACAGGGCCGGCGGUGUCCGGGAAGCCGCCGGGAGGUCGCCCCUGGUGCGCGCCCUGCCCCGGGGAAGCCUGCUGCCACCGUCGACCCCGACCUCUGUCCUGGGACCUCGUCUGGAGAUCCAUGGCGCACAGCGGCCUCGCAGGGACGAGCCCGGCGACUGUGGCUGCUGUCCGCGGCGCGCACGGGGCUGCGGUCAGGCCAGGGACCGUCGGUCCGCCCGGGAUCCCCUAGCCGGGCCCGAGCGUGCGCGCGCGCGCCCUGCUGCCCGCAAUCAUGGCAGCCGGCGCCUCGGAGCGCAGCCGCCGAGCACGCUUCGGCAGCUGCCUCGGUGCCAGGGCGGCGAGGGCGGGCUAGGGCCGGGGCUUGCGCCUGUCCGCGCCCCUCGGGCGCGCAGGCCCCAGAGGGCGAAGCAGAAAGCUGAUGGGUCUCUGCGGAGCGGUGCCCCCUGCCCCGCACGGGCAGGCGGGAGGGGCCGCGGGCCGGGGGCGCGCGGACGGGGAGCGCCCGGGGCGGCAUGCCCGCGGGGGCGCGCACGCGGGGCUGCGGGACGAGGCGCGGGGCCCGGGCGGCGAAUCCGCUGCUCGCCCCGCCCGCCCCGCCCGCGCGCGCCGGCCCGAAGAGGAGGGUGCGCGGCGGAGGGGGGAAGCGGGAAGGGGCCGCGCCCCGUCCUCGCCCGUAGCGGGCAUGGCCGGGGGCCCCGGGAGGCCUCGUUGGUAUUCUGGGCACAGCCAAAGUGUUGACCUCCCCUCGGAACAGGGGCGCCAGGGUGCGCGGGCACGGCCACCACCCCCGGGCGGUCUCCCGGAGCUGCGGGGCCCAGAGGCGCCUUGCUCCCCCCACCGUCCCCUCCUCUCCGGGUCUCCCGUACCCCCUCCCCUGCCUCGAUCCGGCGGCGAAGGGGUGGGCAGGGAAACGCGCUCUCUGGGACAGGUGCCAACUCCGAGACAAAAGACAUAAAAUAGGCGGCAACGGGGGAAGCGCGGCCGGCGCGCUCGGGCGGGGACGGAGGCGCCGCGGGGGCCGCAUCCUCGGUGCCGACCGGGGAAAGUUUGGGAACUCGCCGCAGCGGCUUCGCAGCGGCGGGGGACGCUCGGGCCGGGCCGCCCUCCGCGCCGCGCUCACCCUCUCCGCGCCGCUGCUGAAUAAUUCAUGGCGCGGCCGCCGGCCAUUAGCAUGCACCGGGCGCGCGGCGCGUCUGUGCCAAGCCGCCGCCGCCGCAUUCGGCGCCCGGGCCGCGCCAGACGAGCGGCCGCGCGGAGGCCGGGCCCGCGCUGUCCCCGCGGUCGCCCGGCGGCGCCCAUUGUGCCCUCGGCCCGCGCCGCCCGGCCGCCCCGAGCCCGGCCGCAACCCGCAGCGCGCCCGACGGCCCGGCGCUGCAAGUUGGGGCCCGCGGCGCCGGCCCGCCCGCCCCGGGAUGCACGUGAACUUGGAGAAAGUCGCGGGGCGCGCCGGCCCGGACCUCCGCGGCAGGGCGUGGGCGUCCCCCGCCAGGCGCGCUUUCGUUUUCGUCCGGGACAAAGGUCCUCGCGGCGCUGGUCGCAGACACGGAGACCAGGUACUGCGGGCCACUCUUCGUUGAGGUCCGGUCGUUCAAUCCAGGAAAGCCGGAGCCGGGAGAAAGAGGAGCGGCGCGAUGCGGGACCGGGGAAGUGGGGCCUGGCCGUGCGCUUCGCCGGCGCUGCCCCGGAGCCGUCCCCGCUGCGGAGAGUUGCGGGAGAUGGCAUCGCUCUGCUCUCUGCCGUUUCGGCGCCUGAAGGAGGGAAGCAUUUGGAACCCAGGACUCAGACCGAUGACCCAGGGCCUUUGCAGCCGCGGGCACGGCAGCCUAGCGCCGGCUGCUUCCGAGCGCGUUCCUCCAGCAAGGGCACGGCUGUCGACCUGCGCGCCCCGGGUCGCGAUCGGGUUCAAGGCGACUCCUGAGAACGGGCAGGCCUUCCACCGACGAGGGGACACACGGACGAGGUCGCUCUGGAACCCGAAGCCGCACCAGCUUUCAAGAACUCCACGGCCGUCGUUAAGAUUCUGGAACUUGGAAUUUGUGAAAUACAGCCGCUCAUCUCAGGUGUGCGGGCCGUUUGCCAGAGAGAAUUUUGUUGAACACGUAAAAUAGCGUUAGCAGGCAUCCAAAACAGAAUAGAACGAGAAGAGAAAACGUCUGUUUUCAGGGCCAGCCCCAGGAUGGCCCCUCGCCUGCACUUCGCCAUGCCUGGCCUCUGGCCACUACGAGGCCCGAGAACUUCCUGAGUGACGGGGCUCCAGCUGCUGGCAGGGGCUGGCUGCUCAGCAUGGGCAGUGUGUGGUGAUGAGGCCUCCACUCUGGCGGGUCCCGGAGCAUGCUGCCUGAACUGGUGCGGACAGCACUCUGCUCAGUGGAAACAGCAGGAAGCUUUCCACUGGGGUGACUUUUGGUCCGUGUGCUUUGCACCUGACUGGGGCCAACUCUCUAUGAACCAGUCUCACUUGCUCCCAUCCUCAGCAGGGUGCUGGGGCCUGUCCUGCCCUGGCGUGGACUGGGCCUGACUGGAAGACAGCCCGUGGGGCCGAGGGAGGGACCAGGGACUUUGUCCGCCCUGAUGGGCACCUUGCCUGGAUGGGUGCUCUCUUGUACUCAGGGAAAUCCCUUGCGAGGCACCGAUGUGUGCUCCCACUGAGGCCCUUCCAUGCCAGGCAGGAAACCAUCUUAAAACCACCAGCCUUGGUGGUGGUUGUUGGGCUUGGAAGGGUGUAUUUGCAUAUUUGGGGAGAAGGGAGAAUACUCGUGCAGAAGUCCCAUUAAGCUGGAGUGUCCCAGCUCACAUCCGGGCAGCUGCGGUCCAGCCCCUGCCCCUGGCUCACCGUGUGACCCUGGACAAGUCACAUCACCUUCCUGGGCCUGUACCCUGAGCUCAGGAGCAGGAGGGUCGUUGGGAGGGUUCAGAUGACAUUAUUUCCACAAAGCACAGUUCCUGGCACGUGGCAGGGACGCGGUAAAUGGCUGCUGCUGCUUGUUAUCGUUGUAAAUGGUAAUCGCCAUUUUUAUUGCUAGUUACUAUAUUUUUGAGUUUCUAGGGAACAGAAAGCCCAGUUUUGGUUGCACCAGAAAAGACACCUGGAAGUUUCCUCCCCCUCCCCCCGCCAGGUGGUAGUGCAAGUGCACCUUGAGGAUAUUUUCUUCAAGGUAGACUGUCAGGAGCCUGCAGAGGGGGCUUUCCUUGUCAGGGGGACUUGGCCUGGAAGCACUGGGUACACUGGAUGGGACCAGGCCCCUGGAGUCCUCCCAAGAGGUCCCCUGAUGCCCCUCGCAAGAAUGGCACUUGAAGAGCUCACCUGGGUGCUGGCCCCGGGGCUCAGACCCCGAAAGAUGAGGGCAAGACAUCCUGACUGCGAGGUCCGGAGGGGCCAUGCCAGCCACCAGCAUCCUUGCUGGCAACAUGGGUGGCAGUUCCGUGGGAGGGUUUCACCAUUCUGAUGGGCUAAUUGUUCCUUAGCCUGAUACAAGCCUACGUUUACCAAAAUGCUGGCUUUGGGAGAAUUUUAUCUCUUAGCUGAUCGUUCAGGAAGACCCAGCAAGAUGGCCCUUUCUCAAAACAUCUUGUUGGAACAAGAAAGAACCAUAAAUGGCAUCAGCCAUGCUUUUCUGAUGUUAUGCGGCCGAGGAGGGAGAAAAAGUAACAAUUGUCUCCGAGUGAAGACAAUGGACCUUUUAUAUGAAAUAUUUAUUUUCAGGGCCAACCAGUGUCCCGUUGGCUGGGACAGUGGAGCUCGAGUGUCUGGGUGUUGCGGGCCCUGAGAACUCAGGGACGAGAUUUACAGAAAAGGAAGAAAGAAAGUCCCCACCCGUGGUUCUUGGGAAACUUCAGUGGGAACGGCUGGCUUUCUUUAUCAAGUGGAAUUUAAACUUCCACGAGUUUCUUUUUUCUUCUGUGAUUUCUUUUGAAAGACCCGCAGGGGCACAUUCGCAGCCCCGGAAAGAUAGCUGGGUUUUGGCUCUUGGGCUGGAUGGCUCCCUCGGGCCAGGCCCUGUUGGCCUUUGUCUGCUGGGGGGUGGCAGAGUGCAAGUGAGAAAAACAGGACUGGAAGAGGAAGGGUCUGUCCCUGAGGGUUGGGGGGAGCCCGCCGAGUGCGAUUUGGGACAGUAUUUGUGGUUCUCCGGUGUCCUUUACUCCUCCCCAAAUCCCGUUCUGUGAUGAACUCAGGAGCGGCCUGCAGGUUAUUGGAGUCUGGCCUGACUUGGCAGAGCCACACACAGACCCUCAAACACUGUCCCCAGCUGGAGAGGGUAUGUUUGUAACUCUUGGAUGGAUGUUUUCUGAAUUAAUAGAAUGAACAGAAUUUCACUGAGGCCUACCCAUGAGCCACCUCCCUCUUGCCUUCGCGGCUGCCGGGAUGGUGCUGGAGCAGCUGGACUCGGUUCCUGCUAAAUUCACAGUCUCAGUGUAGCCGGGAAGGCGCCCUGGGAAGCGAGGCUCAUGUUAGGGACCCGAGGAGGAAUUGAUGGGGCUGGGGCUUGUGAGGAGAGUGUCAGGGAGCGGGUCUUCCCAGCAUUUGGGGCACAAUGGGAAGGCCUGGGACAGUUGGCCCAGGACCCUGGCCAACUUAGGGGGUCCUCAGUCUGGAUGCCCCUACAAAGCGGAUGGAGGACAGAAGGAGUCGCCCGGAUCAGGGUGUGGGGGGCCCUCCCUUCCAUGCGUCCCCUAACCCAAAGACUUUGUUGGCAAAUAAUAUAUUUGGCUUCAAAAAGGAGGUUUUGUUUUUUAAAGCUGCUGUCACCUAUAUUUAUUUUUUAAUCCUGGAAGCUGUUGACUGUGAUCUCUUUCACCUUCUGCGUUAACCUGCCCCCAAAAAUGCUAUGACGAGAGCUCUCUCUCGGGGGUGACCACAACAGAGCCUCUGAGGCCAUGAGUAGAAUUGUAAAAAUGGGAGUGGAAAAGACUGAAAUUUCGUGACCUGGGUCAGAAAAACCCUAACACACAGGCUUUUAUUCACUUUUGGGGAGGAAGGGUUCAAAGUAAAAUGCUGCCCGGUCUUCUUGCGAAAUUUUGGGUGGGAAGCUUGUUUGAGUCGGGGUCCGGGAGCCCUGCCUUUCGGGAGGGCUCAGAAACCCGCGUGGAUGGAUGAACGGAGCGUCUCGACAGCCGGUGGGGGCCGCUGCUCAGUUAGUGGCUGAGGGAUUUUCGGAGUGGAGAUGUGACCAGCGGAGGCCACGCUGAUUGUCGUCAAAUGAGACUGGUGGUUGUGGUUAGGAAAAUGUGUGCUGUGCAUGGGAUGUCCAAAGUAAAAGGCCAAUUUUUUUUUUUUAAGGGAGUAAUAGAAUUUUCUCUCAAGAUUAAAACAAGAACGUCAUCCCUGAUGCCUUUGGUUUCCAGUGCCGGGGCUGGGUUUUUCUGUGAAAUGCCUUCCUUUACGUCUUGGCUUUCCGAUGGCAGAAAGAGCCUCUAGCUGAAAUAUUUACCUGCUGAUUUGGGGCUCUUAAAUCUAGAUUUGCCUUUCAUGUGUUGAAGAGCGAUAUUUACAUUCAAAUCAGCCUUUUAUAAUUACAUUUUAAAUUAUAAUAAAACGAUGGUGGGGGGGGCGGCUUCAGUCUUCCAUGUGUUUAACAGGGAAAGUCGCUGGGCGAAUGGCGUGUGGCUUGCACAUCCCAUCGCCAGACCUGCCCAGGCUCAGAGCAGGUGCCUGAAGUACAGAUUCUGGCCUGCAGGGUCACACGUGUGUCCUGAGCAUGUCAGGGUCCGUGGAUGUCGCCUGUGGAGCCCUCCCCGAUCUGCCUGGAGAAGAGUUUGUGGAUGGGGAUUCUGGCCCCAGCACAGUGGGGACGCUGCCAAACCUCAUGGCAUGCAGUUCCAGCCUGAUUCGGGCCUGGCUGCCCUGCCGCCCUGGCUGAUAUGUUGUGUCCUGAGCUUCACGCUGGCCCGCAGGCCUCGGGGUGGAGGCCAUUAUCUCCUAGGUGGCCAGCUGGGCACAGCAGCGGCCACUCCUGGUCGUGGCGAUACUGUGUGUGUGUUGGGGUGGGGAGUGCCCACCUCCUCCUGCAGCCGUAACCCAGGUUGUGCCUUCUCUCUCCUGUCAGGGCCGGCCCCAAAAUGGCCACCCAGUUUUCAGGGGCUUCCCUCGUGGAGUAUGGGGGGACCCUGUCCUCCCGGGGCCAGGCUGCUGGCAGCCGUGCCAAGCCCUUUCUGGAAUGGAAUUCCCAGCGUUCCUGGUCGGGCGCAUGGCAUCGGAAUCCUACCUGCUUUGUCUCUGGCAUCAGCUGGCGACUGGUCACGUGGCCUUGUGCAUAAGACCAGAGCCCGAGGACCAGAGGGCUCCUCCUGGCUGCUUCCUCCUCAUUCACUCGGUCCCCCCCUCCUUUCGCUUUGGGCAUGACAGUCUCUGAGCAGGCAUAAAGCAAUAUUAAAAUAAAAUGUACUCGAGGCCGCUGGGGAACUCCCAUCCCCAGAUGCCGAGGUGUCCAGGCCGCCGCUUACCUCCAGUCGUUACCAACAGAAAGGCCCGGAGCUGGGGUGUAAACUUACACAGCGGCCCAGCCACGGUCACUCGGUCACUCGUGCUGUCCCCUCCAGUUCAGCACGGAGCUGGCCCUGCCUGCCUGGGAGCCCCUUCCCACACUUGCAGCCUCGCGGCUCACCCUGCACAGGGAUAGCCUGGCGGUCGUUGCCUCAGCUCCUGGCCGCAUAAAAAGGCUGGAGGAGAGACUUGGGCAAACAGGUUGGCCACGCAGACCUGGCCUGCUGCCCGCAGGAGAGGGCAGCUGAGUCUGCCAAAUCUCCGAAUGAAAGUGCCCACAUUUAAACCAAGCCCACUGACCCGGGUCAGAGGGCCGAGCGUGGGCAUGGGUCACCUCUCCCCUUGGUGGUAAGGAUUGGCUUUGGUGAAACUGAAGGAUUUGUGGUGGUCUGAGAGGGAUAUGGUGACGUGCCUGGACUCUGGACCCCUCGUGACUGCUUGGCCACCUUUUGGCCCCUGUCUGCAUGGUGGCCGUGUCCUGAGUGCCGAUGACGUACCACGUGCCAUGCUCAGCACUCCGCUUGCAGUUUUGUCAUCAAAGCAGCCCUGAGUGGCAGGAGCCAUUAUCCCUAUUCUUUUUACAGAUGGGGAAACUGAGGCUGGGAGAGGCAGCGUGGCUUGCCCUGGGUUAGGUGGCCAGUUGGGCACAAGGCCAGAUUCAAACCUGUGACCACGGCCUCAGCUGCAACCGAACAGCCUCCCAGGGCCUUGGCUAGAAUGGGCUCCCUCCAAGGGCCGGCCAGGGAGCUGUUGGGGUGGGGGCUCUCGGCCUGGCCCGGGGAGCACAGCCGGGGUGCCGGCCGCCGCCUGCUCCUCUGCAGGGCCCGGCAUGGGAACAAUGCGGCCUCUAUCCCGGGAGUGAGCCCAGGCCGCCUGGACUCCCGGAGCAGCCGGCCAGGCCGCCUGCCCGCAACAUGGCGCCCGGGGCCGCGCCACCCGUCCACGGGGAGGGCUGGCGCCUGGGCCGGGCCUGGGCCAGCCGGCUCCCGGCGUCCCCCUCGGGCUGGCCGCUGAGUGGCCAGACGCUCCUGCUUCCUCCUCCCUCUCCCGCCUGGCCAGCCCCCCCUUCCUGCUGGUGGGUUUGGGGGUCCGGCCCACCCGCCUCUGCCACGUCUGCCAUCCUCCCGGCACCCAUGAGCAUCUUUCAAAAAUUCCCGGUGGGCGGGGCCGAGCCGCAGCGGCCGCCUCUGGCCCCCCCUCCCCGGGCAGCCAGUGCCAGAUGAGAGCAGGAGACAAAAGUAGCAUUUUCCUCGUCCUCCUGGGCUGGCAGCAGGGCCUCCCCCAGCGCCACUUGGCUCCUGGCAGCCCUGCCCCCGGGUGCCGUGGUGGCCGAGGCCCAGGCCGCACCGGCUAGGACCAAGGGACCGAUGGACGACGGUGGCCAGAGACCAGGAGGCCUGAGGGCCUGUCGGUCGGGGGCUGGCACCUGGAGACAGCCUGCUGGCCGGCAGGACCUGUCCUCCUCUGCCUGCCUCUGUGACCGGCAGGCAAGGGGACACCAUCUUCACCUCCUUGCUUUUGAGAACGCCCCUCGUCCUCCUGCGCCUUGGAACGUGGCUCCUCCCAGGGCACCCCCAAGAAAGUGGGCACCCAUCAUGGCCUUUGGAAGAUGCUCCGGGACUGCACCAGGGCAUCCAGACUUCUUCCUGCCUCACUCCCAGGCCCCAGAGGAGCUGAAGGGGGGCCAGGCCUGGCUGAGAAGUGGGGGUCUAGCUUGGGACCAGUGCAGCCGCCACGUGCAAAGAUGAAGCCUGCACGUAUGACCCUCGCUGAUUGGAUGGGCAGGAAGAGCACUAAGGGGUCAGUUAAUUUCUUGUUUUUGUGUACAUAUAUAUAUAUGUGAAGCUGCUUAGAGCAAUGUGGACAGUGUAGCACAAUAAAAAGAAACAGCUGAGGAAAUUGGAGCCCAGGGAAAAUCACAGGCAGGCCUAGCAGAAGCCGUGUUGUAUAGGAGCCUUGCAGUUGCUGGUGUGACCUGUGAAUUCAGCUCCAAGAUUCCCAGCAGCCAAAGCAAAGAGGGGAAGACUAGCCUUUGCAGGAAGUGAUGUUGGGGAGCACUGUCUUCAACACUGGUGCUGAGAGUGAGCUGGUGCUGACACUCAGGGUGUCCCAAAGGCCCCGAUGAGGCCAGGGGAGACAGAGAAGGAGGGAGCUCCCCGCUGCUCCAUGCAGUCGCAUUCCUCUCAACACGCUGAAUGCCGCACUCGUCGUUUCAUCUGAUUCUCCCCAGCCCUAAAGCCUAGGUCGAGAGGGGCAUUGAGGGCCCAGGCCAAACCCUCAGGCCUCACCAAGCCUGACUUUGAACUUGCAUCUCUCUGGCCCCCAAAUCCACAUCCUUGCAUCCCCAUCUGCUGCCCUUUGGAGAGGGGUGAUCCCAGAAAACCUGGGUGUUUCAGGGGUGACUUUGGGCACAAAGUCACGUAGAUGGGGCAGCUUCCUGGCCCGCGGGGUCCCUUGGGAGCCUCUGGGUGGUCUCUGAGCUGUGCUGGGCUUCUCGGGGUCUUAGGGCAGGCUGGGCUGGAGCUCACAGGGCACAAAUGCAGAACGUGACCCCCACACAACUGGGGGCUCCUUCCCAGGAUGUAACCAGUGUCUCUCCUUCCUUCCAGGUCUCACCCCUUCUUUCCAGCUGCUUCAUUCCCUGCGUGACACCGGAAGCUCGGACAACAGUGCCAGCUCAGGUCAAAAAGUGGUGGCGAGACAGGAGCUGCUGACCUCGGCCGAGCUUCCUCACCGUGAGCUGGGGUUCCCUCUGGCCUUCGCCGUCGACUGGGCAUGGCCUGAAGCAGCCACGGUCCACUGCCGGGUGUCUGCAUGGAAGAGGAGCGCUCAGCCUCAUCUCUCUGCAAUGGUGAGGACUCGCUGUCCCCGGGUCACCCCCCAGGCUCGCCCUGCCUCGAGGGCCCUCUGGGGCCAGGAGUCCCUGAGGUAGCCCCUUCUCUCCUCCCAGCCGUGAACCAGCCCUCGAGGGUGUGAUUAAUACACACAGGCCGCCUGCCAUCCACCUGAGAUGCCACACAGGUGAAUCUAACCUGGAACAAGAAGAAAGGCCACAUGAGGGAAACUGAGUCACAUCUUCUCCUAGACUAGGGCACGGGGCGGGGCUUGUGGUGGCAGCCAGGAUGUGUGUCUCUUCCUGUGUGCCCCUCUCUCCCUGCCUCUCCCAACCCUGUGGAGCCCCGCCCGUGGGCUGGCCCAUCGCGUAGUCCCUGCCUCCCAGCUGGGGCUGGGGCCCUCCGGGGUCAGCACUGCAGGCUCUGGAGCUGAAGCCCAGGCCCAGGGGUGGGCAAGUGGGUCCAGGCCGCAGGGCAGGGGCUAUUGGAGUCCGCCUGGCACACACCCGUGGGUUCCAGCUCUGAUGUUAGUUAGGGUGGCCUGGCUGCUGCCCGGAUCCCCCCAGCUGGCUCUGCCUGGAGCAUCCUUGGGGAUGCCCUGGUCCCACCGCAGCCAAGGAGUCCGGGUAGAGGCAGGGGACUGGAAGUCGAGACACUCUCAUGCAGAUUUCUUUCUGGGGCCUUGAGGGAGCACAGGGGUCUGUGCUCACAGGCCGACCAGGUCCUGGGUUGGGGCUUCAGGCUGUGCUGGGACGUUCCUGGUCCCCCCUCCCAGGUGACUGCGCCUCAGUCUCCCAUUCUGGGUAGGCUGUGCCACGCAUGGGCGCUGAUGCUAUGGUCCCUGGUUGGGGUUCGUGGGACUUAGUCCCGCCCCUUGUGGGCAGGGCACACGCCUGCACAGGGUGUUGUCAGCACAGCGCCUGACACCCAGGGGUUCGGGGGCAGCAGCUGCUUGCUGCUUGGGCCUGAGCACGAGACCUCCCUCUGCAGCCAUGGGCAAGGCCAAGCCUGGGAGAGCCUGAGAGGGAGCCCUCUGCUGACCUGGGGUCAGGGACCCUGCCCAUCUGAGCCUCAGUUUCCUCACCGAGAAAUGGGAUUGGUGAUCCUGGCCUUACCAGGCCUGUGAGGACCAAAUGGCACGGCCCAGCCUGGUGCCUGCCUGGAGGAGGCAGCCUGCUAGGAAGGGAUGUGGAAGGAGGUUUGAAGUUUCAGAGCUCAGAGCUCUCUUUGCACUUGACUAGGCAGAAAUCAGAACGUUCGGAGCUCUGCUCUGAUGCCAACGGCUGCGUGAACUUCAUGUCGCCUCUCUGGGUGGGCCUCAGUCUCAUCACCUGUGAGAUGGGUGGACAGUAGUCCUUGCCUCAUCGGCUUCACAGGGUUCCCCAGGAAGGUGGUGGCCAUGCCGGUGGCUGUUGUGGAUGUUUAUCGAGGCUGCCUCUGGGCCUGUGUGUCCCUCGAGGGUCCAGUUCUGGCCCAGCCACUCCCCUGGGAGCCAGGUUCCCUUUAGAAGAAAAGAACAGCAUCCAGAGGCCUCUUGCAAAGUGGGGGCGGCUCAGGUCACCCUAGAUGCAGGACCAGAUCAGCAGAGCCUGCGGGGAGGGAGUCGCACCUGUCCCGGGGGUGGAGGGAGCAGGCCCGCAGAUCACAGGGGCAUCUGGUGUGGCCAGGAGCCGGAGGCUGGGCUGUUGGUCGGAGGGUGGGCAGCCAUGUAGACACUCACGGCACCUUUCUGACACAUGGCCUCUAACAAUUGACAACCUUCCUCCCAGUGUCACUAAUGCAGAAGUCCCUUGGGGACAUGGUGACCACUCCUGUCCAGAUGGGAGUGGUCCAGUCGCCUGUAAGAGUUUCCCAAAAGCCACCUCGAACUUCUCCCCAUGCCCUCCCUCCCUCCCCUCUCUCUCCCCUUUUGGUUGGUGGCUUUCUCCUGGGGCACCCUCUCUGCGGUGGUGCUGCCGGCAGUUCGCUGGUGCCCAGGCCUUUUGCUGACCUGCCUGCCAGAGUCCCUGUCCCCUUAGCACCCAGAUGGCCUGGCCCCCAGCCCUGGUUCCCCAGUGCCUCUCCUCCUUCCAGGAGGUGCCUCUGGAAGCCGUGAAGUCCGUCCGGGAGCCAAGACUGACGGCCCUUUGGGGUGAGGUAGUAGGUUGUAUAGUUUGGGGCUCUGCCCUGCUAUGGGGUAACUAUACAAUCUACUGUCUUUCCUGAAGUGGCCGUAAUAUCAACGGUGGACAGCAUCCAGAACCCUGGCUGGGAGGGUCAUGGGUGGCAAGCUGGGGGUGGGGAGCAACCCUGCGGGGUGGGUGGCAGUGGCUGCCAUGCAGUAAGAAGACUGACAGGCCUAGGGUUCACUUGCUGUGUGAUCUUGGGCAGGUCCCUUAAUCUCUCUGGGCUUCAGUUUUCUCAUCUGUGAAAUGGGGGCAAGUGAGGAUUAAAGGAGAUAGUGUGUCAAGUGUCUAGGGUGGGGGGCUCGGAAUUGGCCCUUACUUCUCUACCCACUGUGCUGAGACCCAGUAGAUGCAUGGGACAGUUUGUGCAGCCUGCUCCCCUAUCCUGUGGGUGGCCCCAAGCACGUGUCUGGACUGUGCCCUCAGCUGUGUCCCUGUGGCCAGCGCUGGGCACCAGGAGGAAUUGCUGUGGGCUUGGCUGAGGUUGCAGGGCAGGGAGACCCACGGGUCUGCCUUCAUCAGUGCGUCCCCCAGACGAUGCUCCAGCCUGUCCAGCUCAGCGUCAGGCCUGGGGAGGGUGGGAGCCGGGGCCAUCCCUCCUUGUGGCUCAGCUCUCCCGAGCAGGAAGCGGGAGGGGCGUUGUCCCAGCCCAGCGAGCGCCCUCGGCCCCUCCGGCUCAGGCCCACCCUGCCCUCCAGCAGCCUGCAGGUGGACGGUAUGGGCUGCACUGCGUGGGGAAACCGAGGCACCAUCUGCAUUUUCGCUCCUGCCCUGCGCCUGCCCAGCCCUCCAGCUCAGCUCUGGUGGCUGCGGACCACCGGGCAGGGCUGGGCUGGGCGUGGGGCAGCGGCGGGCCACGGACCCUCCCGCCCCUGGGCGCCGGCGGGGUGAGGUAGUAGGUUGUGUGGUUUCAGGGCAGUGAUGUUGCCCCCUCGGAAGAUAACUAUACAACCUACUGCCUUCCCCGAGGAGCCCCGCGACACGUGCCCGCGGGAGGGCCCACCCCACGCGCCACGCUCCAGGGGGAUGCCGGGGCUCUGGCCGGGCAGUGGGAGGCCACAGUGUGCACACCUGACUGUAAUAAAAGCUGAUGUGAAACUGGAAUCUGGCCCCUUCUUCCUUCUGGAAGCCCAUGGGCUGGACGGCGGAGAGUGUGUGCGUGUUGGUGGUGCCAUGGGGGGCAUGUGUGUGGCCUGACUGAGGAGCUGCCACCUGGACCCUUGGGGUCACCAGGCCUCCCGUCUGCACCCCCGGCCCGCCCAUUCCAGCAGCCCUCAGACCCCUCCGAUGGGUUCAGUCCUAGACCCAGACCCAGCCCAUCCUCUACCCCACUCAUACCCCCUCCGAGGGCGGGGCUGUGGGACCCCGGCCCCAGAGGUGUUACUUGGCCCCCAGCCUGGUGGAGAAGCCCACCGGACAGCUGCCUUGUGGGUGGUACAGACCCCACAGGAGCUCCGAGCGCAGUCCGGGGCCUGGCCCCCUCGGCCCCCUCAGUACCUGGGGCUUGACUGGAGCCCGGAAGUUCCCGUCGUCCCAUACCCAGCUCCCCCAGGACAUUUCCAGGGUCGCCCUUGUUUCAGGUGUCCGUCCUUGGGCCGUGUGCCAUUGCAAGCAUUCAUUGUGUUUCUGCCUGAGGCCUUGGCUCUUGUGUUGGUGGCGGCCGCAGGCCUGUCCCUGUGAUCCCAGCCUGAGUGUUAGAAGGGGCCUGUCCGUGCCUGACCCAGUGCUGAGAGCACCCCUCCGGGGGCAACACCCUCCCCUGUACCCACGAUGCCCGGCACAGACCCCAGUAAGGCACCACCUUCCUAGCCAGAGCCAGCCCCUCAAGUCACCCCACAACCCCCUAGGAAAGACAGUUCCAGGCUGGCCCUUGCAACAGUGUGCACAGAACCGAACUCCACCGCACCCCCAAAUGCUGCUGCCUGACAACAGAGCUGACAGGACAGAAACAGUCCUCAGUUAGUGAUCUAGGACAGGGACCCUGUGACAGGGACCAGAAGAGGCUCUUGACCCAGCCAGGGGUCCGCAGAGGCCCCAUGUGGAGGGGCCAGCUGAGCUGAGCACCUCUUGGCCAUGCACACAGCAGCCUGGGGUCCUGGCGGGACCCAGUGCCCUCAGCCCUCCCACCUUGGUGAUUGUCUCCAAGCUGCAUCUUGGCCCCAAGCUCCAUCCUGAGUCUCCUGGUCUCCUACUUGGUCUUUGAAGGUCCCCCCAGACCCACAUGACCAUGCCUGGGCAGACCAGCAAGUGCCUGUCUUCACCCUGGGCCUAUUGCCCUCAAGGGGCUGCGGGAGCCCAGAUCAGGGACCCCAAGAGGCAGGGCUUCCUAAACAGGAGCUAUCUGAGCUGGGUCUUGAUGGUUGUGCAGGAGUUUGCAGCUGGAGACAGAGUGAGGAGCUCCUUUGCCCUCUGGGGCCGGGGCCAUGGCACACUCUGGCACCAUCCACCUCCCCGACUACCCCAUACCCAGUCAGUGGCAGAGUCCGGCCUCCUGUGUCUCCUGAGCAUCUUUUCCGUCCCUCUCUCCAUCCGCACUCUCACCACCAGGCCUCAGAGCCUCUCUGAGCAGCCCCUCUGCAUUCUUGCAG
Molecule: long non-coding RNA, 36379 nt
Filed under: Equus caballus (horse)
Lineage: Eukaryota; Metazoa; Chordata; Mammalia; Perissodactyla; Equidae
Description: lncRNA (ENSECAG00000036269.2)
Rfam family: let-7 microRNA precursor family (bases 34674-34759)
Source: RNAcentral